Long non-coding RNA from Eriocheir sinensis (Chinese mitten crab), 27807 nucleotides. RefSeq lists it as uncharacterized. Lineage: Eukaryota; Metazoa; Arthropoda; Malacostraca; Decapoda; Varunidae. The transcript has 7 exons. The record is from RefSeq and is a predicted model, not a curated record.
GAUGCACCUUUCCGUAAUGUCUCCCUUCAUCGCUCCCGUAGAAAAACAACUCCAAUCAUACUGUAAUUAAGCGUUUGGGGGACUCGUUUUAAGUGGUGGAAUCAAGUUAUAAUAUCCCUCGAUUUCUUUCGUUCAUGGGUUCGGUGUAUAAGACGCACCUUUUCGUAAUGUCUCCCUUCAUCGCUCCCGUAGAAAAACAACUCCAAUCAUACUGUAAUUAAGCGUUUGGGGUCUCAUUUUAAGCGGUGGAAUUAGAUUAAAGUUUCCUCGGUUAAUUCCUUUGUUUGGAUCCGGUUUAUAAGAUUCACCUUUUCGUAAUGUCUCCCUUCAUCGCUCCCGUAGAAAAACAACUCCAAUCGUACUGUAAUUAAGCCGUUUGGGGGUCUCGUUUUAAGUGGUGGAAUCAAGUUAUAAUAUCCCUCGGUUUCCUUCGUUUCUUUCGGUUUAUAGACGCACCUAUUCGCAAUGUCCCCCUUCGUCGCUCCCGUAGAAAAACAACUCCAAUCGUACUGUAAUUUAGCGUUUCGGAGUCCCAUUACGUGGUGGAAUUGGGUUAAACUUUCCUCGGUUAAUAUAUUUCGUGUAUUUGGCUUUACGCAACGGACCCCUUCGCAAUGCUUCCCUUCGUCACUCCCAUGAAAAAUGAGAAUAAUCGUAAAGAAGUACUGUAAUUUAGCGUUUUGGAGUCCCAUUACGUGGUGGAAUUGGGUUAAACUUUCCUCGGUUCAUAUAUUUCGAUUUCGGUUUUACACAAUGGACCUCUUCGCAAUGUUUAGCCUCGUGGUCCCUUCGUGGCGUUUUGGAGUCUCAUUACGUGGUGGAAUCAGGUUAAACUUUCCUCGGUUAAUAUAUGUCGUGUAUUCGGUUUUACACAACGGACCUCUUCGCAAUGUUUAGCCUCGUGGUCCCUUCGUGCGUGUCGGGCAUUGUAGGGCGUGAGGAUCUCUAUAAGUGUCCACCAAACCCUGGCGUAUUCUGAUGCUUCUUCCAUUACCGCUGUCCACGCGACUGAUGAGCCCAGGUAUAUAGUCUUAAAUCAGAAUAUUCUAGGGCUUAGCAAGGGUUAUCAGCUCCCUCAGGCCCUCCAAUACCCUCCCUUCCCGCCAUUUUGUAUGUUAGCGUGUGUAGCUGGAAGCCGCGCGGUAUCAUCACAGUCAUCAGCUUAAGAUCAUGACAACUCUUUCCAACGGCGCACUAAUCCAGACCCGAGUUUGGCUUAUAUGAAAAGUAGCGAUGAUUAAGAAAGGCAUCAUUACCAUCAUCAGCUGUAAUACAUGACAAGUCUUUCCAACGGCGCACUAAUCAAGACUCAACUUUGGCUUAUAUGAAAGGUAGCGAUGAUUAAGAAAGGCGUCAUUAUCAUCAUCAGCUGUAAUACCAUGACUCGUAACUCUUUCCAACGGCGCAAUAGAAGACUUACAAACAUGGCUUAUAGAGGAUAAAUAAACAAUAAUAUGGUGUUAGGUAAUAAAGAAAAGUAUCAUUGCCAUCAUCAGCCAUAACACCAUGACUUUUCACUCUUUACAACAGUGCAAUACAGAAGACAUUCGAAACAUGGCAUAUAUAGAAAAGACUUUAUAUACAAACGUUACAUGUAUAGAAGAAAAGAACUAAUCUUAUAGCGUUAGAUAAUACGGAAAAACAAACAAAACAAUCUCACUCUUUCCAACAGCGCAAUACAGAAGACAUUCGAAACAUGGUAUAUAUAGAAAAGACUUUAUAUACAAACGUUACAUGUAUAGAAGAAAAGAACUGAUUAUAUGGCGUUAGAUAAUAAAGAAAAAUAAACAAAACAAUCACUCUUUCCAACAGCGCAAUACAGAAAACUAUUUUGAAACAUGGCGUGUAUAGAGGAAAAGACUUUAUACACAAACGUUACAUGUAUAGAAGAAAAGAACUGAUGAUAUGGCGUUAGAUAAUACAGGAAAACAAACAUAACAAUCUCACUCUUUUCAACGGCGCAAUACAGAAAGCUAUUUGAAACAUGGCGUGUAUAGCAAAGACUUCAUAUACAAACGUGGCAUAUAUUGAGAACCACAGACGAUAUGGCGUUAGAUAAUAAAUAGGAAAAUAAACAUAAUAAAUAUAAAAAUAAACAUAACAAUCUCUCUCUUUCCAACGGCGCAAUACAGAAGACUUUCAAAACAUGGCGUGUGUAGUGGAAAAUACUUUUUAUACAAACGUGGCAUAUAUGGAGAAGCACGGAAGAUAUGGUGUUAGUUAAUACAGAAAAACAAACAACAAUCUCACUCUUUCCAACGGCGCAAUACAGAAAACCAAUUUGAAACAUGGCGUGCGUUUAGCAAAGACUUUAUAUACAAACGUUGCAUAUAUGGAGAAGCACCGACGAUAUGGCGUUAAAUAAUAAAGAAAAACAAACCUAGUGAGAGCUACGGGUGUUCUCUCGUACGCCGACACAGUGUGAUAAAGAUAUACGGUACAGCAAAGGACUGACCCACCAUUUCCAGCAGCCGUAAGGAUCGCAUGUCAUAGGGCCAGUUUCACAGUCCCCCCAUGACGGGUUAGUAAGCUCCCAAACCAAUACCAGAGCCUUCGAAAUUUCCUUGUAUAGUGUCUGGUGUUUAUGUUUAAGUCCACAAAUUUGAUGAAACUCUACAGGAAAAGUCUUGUGUAUUUAGUGUGGCAUCGAAGCCCUCACCAUUUUGGAUUGUACGGGAUUCUGUAGUUUGGUUCGGGCUGUUACGAAGACACUGUGUUGGACUGUGAAAUCGGCUCAUAGAUUUUAAAGGUAUACAGUUUAGUCAUACUUAUUCCCUCGGACUCUUAAUCAAUACAACCAUAAGCGACCUUUAGUAUUAUUAGCCUUGGUAUCAUUACUACUAGAGCGAGUUAACUUUUUAUCAAUUAACAAGUACUACUAUAUUACUGUUGUAUUUUAAAUUAUAUAUAUACUACUACUACUACUAUUACUGCUACUAUAAUUAUCAUGAGGAGGAUAAUACUGGAUUUUAAGGCAUUUUAUCAACCUGUUGUUUAGGAUUAACGCACAGCAACCGACUCUAACCUCUGUGAUCCCUUACGAGUAGUCCCAAUCUUCCUUGCACUUCGCCUCCCAAGUCUUGUCGGUGGUGGUGGCGAGGGUACGGAAUAGCUCUAUCUUGCCCUCUGACACCACAAGACUGACUGACCCUUUGGACACACACACACUCAUAAACGCUUUGAUUUUUUAUGAUUACGACUAUUUCCGAGGCUAUGAAGAUGAGGCAUGGUAUCGUAGGUGUCUGUCUGUCAUGGUCGUAUCGGAGAGGUCUCGUCAAACCGUCACUCGGGUCGUGAAAUCACUUAAACCGGAACAAUAAGAUUAAUAGUAGUGGUUUUAAGCUUUUAUUUCUCCUUUUUUUAUGCCCUUAAGUUGCCACCUGUUAUAAGGGAAUGCAAGUAAGAUGGUAUUGAAGUGUUUAUGUGUUUGUUUAUGUGUGUGUGUGUGUCCACCUCUCAACCCCCGAUAAUCGCAUCCUCUUUACAAAUCCACGUUUCGGUUCUGCCCGCUUUCUCUUACGCGGACGGACCUGUAUAGCGACGUACAAUGACUCGCAGUGAUGUGUCGUUCCCCCUAGCCACGUAAGCAAGCACCUGGGAAUAUUCUUUGUGUCUACGGCGCGCAGUCUGCCACGAGGAUCAAGUCUCUCCCUGUUGAUGUCGAACCCAAACCCAGGCACUUCAAACUACCCCUUACGUAAGAUUAAGAGGUUUUUAGAUGGUAUUACGCUCUGUCGAGUCGGAUUAUGAACGUAAAUUUUCGAGCAGGGAGAGUGGGAGGCUGUUACAUGCGUUCAGUGCCGCGAGGUCACCCCACACUGGGCUGACCUCGACCUGGCUUCAGCACAAUUCACUCUGGUUUCGUAGGCUUAGGUCAUACACCGUACAUACAAUAUUCGCUGUCAGAGAGUUAUAUAUAAGCGCUACAAUGUGUCUAGAGUUCUCAUACAUACUUAACUUACGUAUACUAAGCUCUCCACCCCUUUGGUCAUCCUUACUUAGCUUCAUAUUUUGCUACUUCAGUAUUUGGUGUUUGUUCGGUGUUUUAGCUAACAUGGGAUUGGUUCUCGCAGCGCCCGGGACCUUAUUACGUAAAGUUAGUGUGUGUGUUAGUUUGCGCCUUCCUAGUCUUGGUAACGCGUAAAAUUAAGCCGUGUAGCGCUGCCUCCAUGUACGCCGUUUAGUGGUGAUCGGGGCGCAUGUGUACCGACGUAUUGGCAGCGUGUUCGUAAUCGCAACUCGAAAUCCAAGGCUGAGAUAGCGGCGCCGAGAGCAUAAUUCUGGAUGAACGGAUGACGGAGAAAACUCCCCUUUGAUUAUUAUGCAAUUUACGGAGACGGAGGCGGCGUGCGAGGCAUUCGUUGUCGUGUUAUGAUCUUGGUUAUCGCGGCGCCGGUUGUGGAGUUUAGGUGGAAUCUGAAUGUCAUGUGUUUUUGGGUUUAUUUUUUCUGUUUCGCCCAAAUUUGGUCGUGUGUAUAAACGUCCUCGGUGGAGAGAAGAGAGACAGAGAUUGAUAAGAAAGAGAAGAGCAAGAGAGAGAGAGAGAGAGAGAGAGAGAGAGAGGGGGGAAGGCAGUUUUUGAGUGCAUAUAAGAAGUAUUUUGUGUGAUUUUUAUACUGAAUCGAUGGAGUUUUUUGCAUUACGUUUUAUGAGUAUUUCGAGGUAGAAUUCGACAAGAGAGAGAGGAAGAGAGACAGAGAGAGAGAGUUUUUGAGUGCAUAUAAGAAGUAUUUUGUGUGAUUUUUAUACUGAAUCGAUGGAGCUUUUUGCAUUACGUUUUAUGAGUAUUUCGAGGUAGAAUUCGACAAGAGAGAGGAAGAGAGACAGAGAGAGAGGCAGUUUUUGAGUGCAUAUAAGAAGUAUUUUUUGUGAUUUUUAUACUGAACCGAUGGAGUUUUUUGCUCUCUUAACAGACUCGCACUACAUUUUAUGAGUAUUACGAGAUAGCCUAGAAUUCGACAAGAGAGAGAGAGAGAGAGAGAGAGAGAGAGAGAGAGAGAGAGAGAGAGAGGCAGUGUGUGUCUAUAAGAAGUAUUUAAUGAGAUUUUUAUACUGAAUUGAAAGUCUUUUGCCGUACUGAAUAGGAAUAGCAAGGUGCAGGGUGAACAUACGACAGUAAAAUUUCUCUAAUGUGUCGGAAGCUUUUUGCCACGUUGAAUAGGAAUAGUGAGGUGUAGGCUGGACGCUAGACAGUUAAGAUUUCUGUUACGUGUCGGAAGAUUUUGUUGCAUUGAAUAUAAAUGGCAAGGUUUUUAUGCUUAUUCAACCAAGGUGUCUGAGGCAAAGGGCUGUACGUAGCGGAGAAAGCAAUGCAGGUAGAGUUUUUUAGCGAGUUUUUUGUCACGUUGAAUAUAAAUGGCAAGGUUUUUAUGCUUAUUCAACCAAGGUGUGUGGGGCAAAGUGCUGUACAAUGAGGAGAAAGCAAUGCAGGUAGAGUUUUUUAGUGAGUUUUUUGUCACGUUGAAUAUAAAUAGCAAGGUUUUUAUGCUUAUUCAACCAAGGUAUGUGAGGCAAAGUGCUGUACAAUGAGGAGAAAGCAAUGCAGGUAAAGGUUUUUAGCGAGUUUUUUGUCACAUUGAAUAUAAAUAGCAACUUUUUAUGCUUAUUCAACCAAGGUGUCUGAGGCAAAGGGCUGUACAUAGCAGAGAAGCAAUGCAGGUAGAGCUCUUUAGCGAGUUGAAAGUUUUACAUCAAGUUCAAAUAUGCAUAGUAAGGGUUCUGUGCGCUUCCCUAAUGCAACCCAGCUAACAGGAAACAAUUACACAGCGUCGACGGCAUUUUGACAAGGCCGCUGCCAUGUGGUAUUGGUUCGGGGGAAAGGUGUGAGGUGAAAUGGAAGUCAGAUAACGUCAAGAUUUUGUCGACAUGGAUAUGGUUGGUAAGGUUCUGUGGGCUUCCUCGUGCAUAGGGGUGUGAGGUUAGGCACUGUAGGAGAGGACACAAGGCAAGCAAAGGAUAAAACGACAUAAACGACAAGUAAAGCUUUUUGUAAUGAGUCAAGAUUUUGUUGAAUUGAGUAUGGAUAGUAAGGUUCUGUGUGGUUCCUCGCGCAUAGGGGUGUGAGGUUAGGCACUGUAGGAGAGGACGCAAGGCAGGCAAAGGAUAAAACGACAUAAACGACAAGUAAAGCUUUUUGUAAUGAGUCAAGAUUUUGUUGAAUUGAGUAUGGCUAGUAAGGUUCUGUGUGCUUCCUCGUGCAUAGGGGUGUGAGGUUAGGCACUGUAGGAGAGGACACAAGGCAAGCAAAGGGUAAAAUGACGGAGAAACGACAAGUAAAGGUUUUUUCGUUGCGAGUCGGGAAUUUUUCAAUGUCAGAUAUCGAUUAGUAAAGGUUCGAUUUGCCUCCUCGGAACAUAAGGGAGACAGAGAGAGAGAGAGGUAGAGAGCAAGCGAGGACAAUCACCGAGGACAUUCCUAGGACAAGGGGGCCGUCAUGCCGUGUGCGAGCCUCCCGUCAUAACGUACGUAGCUUAAAACCGAGCAUUGAUUUAUUAGGACAGAACUACCCACAGAUUCUAUUUACCAUUGUUGACCCAGUGCUGCAGAUACUAUGGAAAUACUACUAAUAAUGUUUUGGUAUCAGUGUUUAUUUUUCUAGAGCUUAUUCGGUUUAAGAGGAGCGUGUUAUGCAAUGGGCGAGGGACGCUAGCCUAGUACUACUCCUGGGUGUUAGGGAGCGCGUUUUACAUUCUACGGUGAUUUAGCGUUAGCGGAUUCCAUUUUUCAACUGUUAGUUUAGUUUGUAUGACGUAUAACACUGACCCCCAAGCCCCAACACGGUCGCUAAGUCACAGAGAGGUCCGCAGCGAGGGAAAUACAAGACUGACGUGAUGUGGGCAGACGGCAUCGCUCCGCCGCCACCCGAUUCAUAAUAUCUAAGGACCGUCUUUUUGGCUUAGCCCCUUCGACCAUCGGUUUACCCGUUCAUGCCUCCCCCCCCUUCCCCCCUCCCCCCGUUGUCAGACUUUAAAAUUAUAAAUGAUAUAUAAGUUAAUAAAACAAAAACAUUUAUUAGACUUUUGAUUUUGUGUGUGUAUCCUUAUGGGUGAUGUUUGCCUGUGUGUGUGUGUGUGUGUGUGUGUUUGCGUAGUUGUAGUUUUACGGGGCCUGGGCUUACGCUCGUGUGGUCCCGUCUCCAUAUCUACAUUUAUCCAACUUUUCCUUAAAGCUUUGCACACUCCUCACCAAUACUACAUCCUCACUCAGUCUGUUCCAAACCUCUAUAUUUCUUUGUGUGUGUGUGUGUGUGUGUGUGUGUGUGUGCUGUAUUAAGUUUAAGAGACAGGUUUUCAUUCUUUUCCACCACUCAAAAUUUUAAGCCCAGCCAUUGAACAAGCUCACGUUGACAAAGGAACAGGUCACAGGAUUUCUUUACGUAGGAGAUUGAUGGCGGACGAAGAUUCAACACUCCCUUAUGUAGCAAAGUUGGCAGUGGCUGAAGACUACAUACAGCAUUGAUUCCUUUAUGUAGCCAGGUUAACAAAUGAAGACACAACAUUCCUUUAACUAUUUCCUUUAGUCAGCGAAGAAUACUGAGAAAACGUGACACUUCCUUUUUGUAGCGAAGUUAACAGCAAAAAAAACAACAGGAUUCCUUUAUGUAGCCAGGUUAACAAAUGAAGACAGAACAUUCCUUUAACUAUUUCCUUUAGUCAGCGAAGAAUAUUGAGAAAACGGGACUUCCUUUUUGUAGCGAAGUUAACAGCAAAAAAAACAACAGGAUUCCUUUAUGUAGCCAGGUUAACAAAUGAAUACACAACAUUCCUUUAACUAUUUCCUUUAGUCAGCGAAGAAUAUUGAGAAAACGUGAGACUUCCUCUUUGUAGCGAAGUUAACAGCAAGAAACAACAGGAUUCCUUUAUGUAGCCAGUUUAACAAAUGAAGACACAACAUUCCUUUAACUAUUUCCUUUAGUCACCGAAGAAUAUUGAGAAAACGUGAGACUUCCUUUUUGUAGCGAAUUUAACAGCAAAGAAACAACAAGAUUCCUUUAUGUAGCCAGGUUAACAAAUGAAGACAACAUUCCUUUAACUAUUUCCUUUAGUCAGCGAAGAAUAUUGAGAAAACGUGACUUCCUUUUUGUAGCGAAGUUAACAGCAAAAAAAAUAACAGGAUUCCUUUAUGUAGCCAGUUUAACAAAUGAAGACAACAUUCCUUUAACUAUUUCCUUUAGUCACCGAAGAAUACUGAGAAAAUGUGAGACUUCCUUUUUGUAGCCAAGUUAACAGCAAAAAAACAACAAGAUUCCUUUAUGUAGCCAGUUUAACAAAUGAAGACACAACAUUCCUUUAACUAUUUCCUUUAGUCAGCGAAGAAUAUUGAGAAAACGUGAGACUUCCUUUUUGUAGCGAAUUUAACAGCAAAGAAACAACAGGAUUCCUUUAUGUAACCUUACCUUCACCAAAACAUUUAAUAGACCUUUGAUUUUAUCUCUGGAAUGGAAAUACAGACAGAAAUAGUAAUGUUUAUGUUGGUUGUUGCAUUCAUAAACAAGAGAAUAAUGGCACCUUUGUAGAUAAGGACCCAACCUGUGGCCUGUAGAAUCUUAACCCGGUAGCAGCAGGGAUCAUGUUUCUUAAUGGUCCCUCCGAGCGAGAAAAAUGAGAAAAAAUCACCCCUCACACAAACCAUUUCAUAAUAUAUAAACGCAUUUGUGAUCACUUUAUGCAUCAUCUAUUUUGGGGGGGUUUAUAUCAUGGCACAAAUUUGGCCCGUCGCUGCUACACGGUAAAGCCUCAAAUUUGGCCCGUCGCUGCUACCGGGUUAAGAUAGCCUACUAGUUCUAAUCCUGAUUGCAGUGGCGUCCCUGUACUGUAGAGGUGGCAACAGUGAUGGUAACUUAUGGAAUGGCUAACGAUCUUUUAAAACAGGUAGUGCUGGCUGUUGUAUAAAUCCUCCAUCUAGCUCCCUGGUAAGUACUUUUGCCUUGCUUGUUGUUUGCACUAAAAUAAAACUGUUUGGUGACGUAUUGAGAGAGAGAGAUCACUUGCUUCAGUCGCGCAAGGCUUCAUAUGCAUGGUGUCAGCUCGAGUGUUCUUCAAGUGCCUGAUGCUUGGAAAUGUUAGCCUGUUGAAAUGGAUUAUAAAGUGUGGCAGUGAUAGCUUGUGGUCAUGUUAACUUGUUUUGGUCUGAGUCUUGGCAAUAUUGUGUGAGUUACGGAGAGAGUUUGCAUCACUUAAAGAGUUUGUUUGCCUCUUCCUCUUGCACUAAUCCGCCUCGUACUUAAUCUGACUUAGAGAGUAAAGAGAUAAAUAAAAAGUUAAUUAUUGUAUAUAUGAAAGAGGUUAAAUAAGGAGGUUAAAUUUGAUGUUUCUAGGGAAUAUAUUUUAAUCCAGGGUCAAAAUUCUUAUAGUAAAUUGAUGUGACUUUACUUAUAUAAUUUUCUUAUUAUUAUUUUGAAAGCGUUAAGUGAAGAAUCAUCAUUUACGAUUCCGUUACGAUUUUAUUAAAGUUACGGAUGAAAAAAAUUUAAAUAGAAAUGACUAACAAAUUUUAAUAACGAUAACAUGAUAAUAAUAACAACAAUAAUAAUAAUAAAUUCUAAUAAUGGUUUCUAGGUUCCAGAGAAUUACACACACACACACACACACACACACACACACACACACACACACACACACACACAGCAAUAAACGCGUGAAAUAUAUUGAAGGAAAAUGUCGUAAUAGUAGAAAGUAUCGAACAGUUUACACAAAGAACGAAAAACUAUACAUAUUUAAACUGAACCUCACGACUGCACCACACGCCCUGUAUACACACACACACACACACACACACACACACACAUACACAGCAAUAGACGCAUGAAAUAGAUUGACGGAAAAUGUCGUAAUAGUAGAAAGUAUCGAACAGUUUACACAAAGACCGACAAGCUAUACAUACUUAAACAGGACCAGAAGACUGCACCACACACCCUGUAUACACACACUACACACACACAUACACACACACAGAAAUAGACGCAUGAAAUAGAUUGACGGAAAAUGUCGUAAUGGUAGAAAGUAUCGAACAGUUUACACAAAGACCGAAGAACUAUACAUAUUUAAACUGAACCUCACGACUGCACCACACGCCCUGUAUACACACACACACACACACACACACACACACACACACACAGCAAUAGACGCAUGAAAUAGAAUGACGGAAAAUGUCGUAAUGGUAGAAAGUAUUGAACAGUUUACACAAAGACCGAAGAACUAUACAUAUUUAAACAGAACCACAAGACUGCACCUUGUAUACAAACACACACACACACACACACACACACACACACACACACACACACACAGCAAUAGACGCAUGAAAUAUAUUGAAGGAAAAUCUCGUAAUGGUAGAAAGUAUCGAACAGUUUACACAAAGACCGACAAACUAUACAUACAGGACCACAAGACAGCACCACACACCCUGUAUACAAACACACACACACACACACACACACACACACACACACAUACGUAACUAAUCCCCACCUCGUAUUUCAGCGCCACCGAAAGGACGUCAGCAACUUCGACAAGCAGUUCACGUCGGAGCGCACGGAACUCACCCCAACGGACAAGCUCUUCAUGAUGAACAUCGAACAGACCGAGUUCUCCGGCUUCUCCUUCCUCAACCCCGAGUUCAUCCAGCAUGUGUAAAGCCGGUCAGCCAGUCAGCCAGUCGGUCAGUCAGUUGUAUAAAGCCAGUCGAAUGUGUAUAAGGCUUGUGGUGAUUUUGAGAUGAGUGUGCGUGUGUGUGUGUGCGUGUGUGUGUGUGUGUGUGUGGGUGUGAUUUUCCAUUCUGUCCCAUGUCACUGUUUCACUUGUUAGUAAGGCGUAUAUGUGUGUGUGCGUUUGUGUGCGUGUAAGUGUGUGUGUGUGUGUGUGUGUGUUUUGAUUUCCCAGUCUGUCUUAUGUCUGUUUCUUAGUUAUGUUUCAUUUGGGAGUAUGACGAGUGUGUGUGUGUGUGUGUGUGUGUGUAUGCAAGUGUGUGUGUGUGUGUGUGUGUUUUAAUUUCCCAUCUGUCCUACGUUCCAGUUUCUUCAUCUGGUUUGUGUGUGUGUGCGUGUGUGUUUCUGUGUGCGUGUGUGCGUUUUUCCACUGCCCUUACGAGCCUGUCACUUGUUACUCUCUCACCGUGUCGGCUUGUCUGUACGAUACUCUACGUGUGUUCCUCCGAAGGUAUAUCAAAAGGGCGCCGCAAACCCCACAGUGUUCCGAGCGGCGUCGUAGCGUAACCUAGACUCAUAAACGUACGUAAUUUCCAAACAUUUUUCCGCCACUACCCGAAUGCCGGACCGUCAGACAAACACCUCGGACACUGUAGCAUUAGCGUAAAUUAAAACGUCACGCUGCGUUCGUCUGGCAGUUCGGACAUUCGCAAACCUCGUAUAAUCAUUUCCGAAGUAAUAAGUCUUGUUGAACCUGAUUUCCCCGUAGUGUUAAGGUUACGUAUUGAAGUCUGUCAUUUGUUCCUGUAGCGUAAGAGACCUAGUGUUUCCUUUAUAUCUAUUUAUUAUACCUGAGCUUACAAUGAGGGUACUACUAAUAUAUGUGUGUAUAGAUCGGUCGGUAUUUCGCAUUCCGAUUAUGGUAGACGUCAUCCCUCGUAGUUACAAGUGUUUGGAGGAGGUGCGUGAAGGCUGCUUGUGGAGAGAUCAUAAACUCCACUAUACUCCACAGAACCGAAGACUCCAUGAUAGUAUUCCCUCUGCGUGUGUGUGUGUGUGUGUGUGUGUGUGUGAGAUAGAGAGAGGUUAGUUUCUGGUUCUCAUAUGUACUCUGUGAAUGGAUCUAACUCCCUGAAGCCUUUCAUAAUAGGAUUGAACUCUUCAAUCCUCUUCGUUCCUUACGACAGAAGUCAAAUACUCUUGAAACCUCUUAUAGCAGGUUCCAACUCUAUUCCUCUAUCCCUGAACCCUUUUGUAAUAGGAUUGAACUCUUUAAUCCUUUCUGUUCCUUACAACAGAAGCCAAAUACUCUUGAAAUGUCUUAUAGCAGGUUCAAACUCUAUUCCUCUAUCUCUGAAGUCUUUCAUAACUGGUUUGAACUCUAACUUCUUCUUUCCUUACAACAGAAGCCAAAUAGUACUCGAACCUCUUAUAGCAGGUUCUGAUUCUUUCCUUCCUUUUCCAACACUAAGAGUCAAUUCCAGAAGCCUUUCAUAAUAGGUUUGAACUCUUUAAUCCUCUUCAUUCCUUACGAGAGAAGCCAAAUAGUACUCGAACCUCUUACAGUAGGUUCCAACUCUAUCCUUCCUUCUCCCAAUACUAAGAGUCAAUUUCCAAAGCCUCUCAUAGUAGGUUUGAACUCUUUAAUCUUCUUCAUUCCUUAUGCUAGAAGCCAAAUACUCUUGAAACCUCUUAAAACAGGUUCCAACUCUAUCCUUCCUUUUCCCAACACUAAGAGUCAAUUCCAGAAGCCUUUCAUAAUAGGUUUGAACUCUUUAAUCUUCUUCAUUCCUUACGACAGAAGCCAAAUAGUACUCGAACCUCUUAUAGUGGGUUCUAACUCUAUCCUUCCUUUUCCCAAUACUAAGAGUCAAUUUCCAAAGCCUGUCAUAAUAGGUUCAAACUCUUUAAUCCUCUUCAUUCCAUACGACAGAAGCCAAAUAGUACUUGAAACCUCUUAUAGCAGGUUCAAACUCUAUUUCCUCCUUUUCCCAACACUAAGAGUCAAUUCCAGAAGCCUUUCAUAAUAGGUUUGAACUCUUUAAUCUUCUUCAUUCCAUACGACAGAAGCCAAAUAGUACUCGAACCUCUUAUAGUGGGUUCUAACUCUAUCCUUCCUUUUCCCAACACUAAGAGUCAAUUCCAGAAGCCUUUCAUAAUAGGUUUGAACUCUUUAAUCUUCUCCAUUCCAUACGACAGAAGCCAAAUAGCACUCGAAACCCCUUACAGUAGGUUCCAACUCUAUCUUUCCCUCCGUGAUCCUAAGAGUCGAUUCCAAACGGCUUUUAUAACAGUCUUUCCCCUCUAUCUCAAUCCCUUUUUUUCCGACACCAUGAACUAAGUGAAGGAAGGUCAGGGCGCUACUGUGACUGCCCAGAAAGGUGGAUUUGACGCAUGUGGUUCACGUCAAUCGCCCUUACGUAGCGAAAUAUCAAAAUGUGUUCUGUGGCGAGUGUCCGAGUGCGAUAAUCCAAAGCUGUCUACCAAAGGAUGUGUGUUUUCGAGUGUGUGUGUGUGUGUGUGUGUGUGUGUGUGUGUGUUUCCAUGAUGAAGUAGAUUAUAAGGAAGUGUGUGUGUGUGUGUGUGUGUUUGUGCGUGUAGGGUUUAGGUAAGAAGAGGAAAGUGUGUGUGUGUGUGUGUGUGUGUGUGUGUGUGUGUGUUUCACUAAUAAUAAUAAUAAUGAUGAUGAGAGAUUAAUAUGUUUAUAAUUAUAGUAUUUGCUAAAACUGUAGGAUUCGUUACUUUUAUCAUUAGUGAAUUCAAACUAGAAGACUCAUAUUUUUCCCUCAUUAGUGAAUUAAAAAAGUGAGAUUUCUUUGUUUCCGUAAUUAGUAGGAUUUGUUAAUUAUGUCAUCCUUGAAUUCAAACUAGAAGACUCAUAUUUUUCCCUCAUUAGUGAAUUAAAAAAAUGCGAUUUCUUUGUUUCCGUAAUUAGUAGGAUUUGUUAAUUAUGUCAUCCUUGAAUUCAAACUGUCGGCUUAAUCUUGUUUCCCUCAUUAGUGAAUUAAAAAAAGUGAGAUUUCUUUGUUUCCGUAAUUAGUAGGAUUUGUUAAUUAUGUCAUCCUUGAAUUCAAACUGUAGGCUUAAUCUUGUUUCCCUCAUCAGUGAUUUCAGAAUAUGAGAUUGAUUUGUUUCUCCUCAACGCGUUCAAAAACUAAACCCGCACUAAAGUCUUUCCGAUAGAGAUUUAUGAGAGGUCUUAAAGUAUUCAGCAUUCCUAGUCAAAUGAGAAACUAUUUUAUUUAUUUAUCUAUUUUAUUUUCAUUUUUAUUAUAAUUAUUCUUUUGUCUCGCGCUAAAGUCUUUCCGAUAGAGAUUUACGAGAGGUCUAAAGUAUUGGGCAUUCCUAGUCAAAUGAGAAACUAUUUUAUUUAUUUAUUUAUUUUAUUUCCAUUUUUAUUAUAAUUGUUUUUUGUCUCGUGCUAAAAGUCUUUCCAAUAGAGGUUUACGAGAGAUGGAAGAGUAUUUUUAAUUGUUAGUCAACUGAGAGCCUUUUAUUUUUUAUUAUUUGUUUUUGUCUCCGUGCUAAAAGUCUUUCCGAUAGAGGUUUACGAGAGAUGGAAGAGUAUUUAUAAUUGUUAGUCAACUGAGAACCUUUUAUUUUUUAUUAUUUGUUUUUGUCUCCAUGCUAAAAGUCUUUCCGAUAGAGAUAUACGAGAGGUCUUAAAGUAUUCGGCAAUGCUAGUCAAAUGAGAAGCUAUUUUAUUUAUUUUUUUCAUUUUUUUUUAUAUAGGCUAUUUAUUUAUCUAUUUUUGUCUCAGUGCUAAAAGUCUUUCCGAUAGAGAUUUAUGAGAGAUCUCAAAGUAUUCGGCAUUGCUAGUCAAAUGAGAAGCUAUUUUUUAUUUAUUUGUUUAACUUUUUCAUAUUUAUCUUUUUUUUGUUGUUUUUUGUCCCUAGUGCUUAAAGUCUUUCCGAUAGAGAUUUACGAGAGAUGAUCAAGUAUUCGGAAUUUCUAGUCACAUGAGAAACCUAUACAUUUAUAUUAUUUUUCAUUUAUUAUUUAUUCAUUAUUAUUAUUAUUAUUAUUUCUCUAGUCAUCAGAUCAUGGUCACUAUUAGGCUAGUUAGCGCUAUGUUGUAUUCUUGUUUGUUUUUUUAUUUGCCGAAUCAAAUAGAAAAAAAUACACUGACACUCUCGUAAUAGAAUAAUCAUCCAUCAAAACCAUUAUAGACACUUUUCUAACCUCUAAAAAUAUGUACAAUUAGACCAAACACCUUUAGUUAAAAAAUCUAGAAAAAGCUAAAAAGAAUAAACGCUAGAACCAUCAUCAUUAGUAGCAGGAACUCAUCUCGUAGGGUUGGCAACACUGUCUAGGGAAACUCUCCUCAUAGGGUUGGCAGUACUGUCUUGGGAAACUCCUUAUAGGGUUGGCAACACUGUCUAGGGAAACUCUUUUUAGGGUUGGUAGCACUGUCUAGGGAAUUUGCCUGAUAGGGUUGGCAACACUGUCUAGGGAAACUCUCCUCAUAGGGUUGGCAGUACUGUCUAGGGAACUCUCCUGAUAGGGUUGGUAACAUUGUCUAUGGGAACUCUUUGUAGGGUUGGCAGUACUGUCUAGGGAAUUUUUUUGAUAGGGUUGAUAACACUGUCUAGGGGAACACUUUGUAGGGUUGGCAGCACUGUCUAGGGAAUUACGUAUCAAGGUUUUGCAUUCUUUGUUACGUACAACAUCUAAGUGUAUAUUCAAAGUCAUGAGUGUGUGUGCGUAUGUACGUUUAAGUGUGUGUGUGUGUGUGUGUGUGUGUGUGUGCGAAUCUGUGUUUGCCAUGCGUGUGUGUCUAUAUGUAUGUAUGAGUAACUGUGUGUGUGUGUGUGUGUCUGUAUAAGUGAGUGUAUGUAUGUGUGUGUGUGUGUGUGUGCGUAACGAAUUGAGAUUAGGCAAAGUUGAAUAUUUAGUUUUAUGGGUACGACGACACUUGUCUGCGCACCUUAUGACCCCCACACACACCUAGGCCUCACUUGGGUGUGGAGCGGGUGUGGACAGGUGACGCACAUUAGCUAGCUGUACAGGUGUGAGACCCAGCAUUCUGCCACCUCACCAACCCUAUACAAAACAAGUAACAAUAACAAAUUCAAUAUACGUAAUACCAAAAAAACAAAUCGACAAAAUCCAGUUCUGUAUUCCUUUUUUUACAUGAGAAUAUUAAGUUAACGCGAAUCGAUUUAAAAGACAUUUGAUCUCACGUUGAAUUUUCAGUCAUGAGAGUAUUGUGUUGGUUAAUGAUUCCAGUCAGGUCAGAUCAGGUCAGGUCAGGCGGCAGAAUCACUUCGUCUCGUUUAUCGCGUAACAUUUUUUGGUCUUUUUUUUCCGUCGUUUAUGGAGCGUUUGGGGUCAAGAGUACGACCCUCAAACCUCGCCUCCAGCAACAUCUGUGACCUGUGUGUGUGUGUGUACGCCCGAGAGUGUCUGUCUGUAUGUGCACGUCAACAAAGGCUCAUGUACGUAUAUAUAUAUAUGUGUACCAACUCUCUAUGUGUGUACGACUCAAGGAUUUUCCAGCUCCAGGUGAUAAUGUUAUGUCAAUGUGUGUUCAAUUUCUGACGUUUAUACUCGGGUGAGGAUGCGAUUCUCUUCUGUCGCUUAUGAAUUGAGCUGUGUGUGUGUGUGUGUGUGUGUGUGUAGGUUAUCGUAGUCCUAAACAGCUGUGUGUGUGUGUGUGUGUGUGUGUGUGUGUGUGUGUGUGUGUGUUAAUUUAGUCCUAUACGGAGGUGCAAGUUGAAGAGCGUAAGAUAAAUAGGAUGUAAGAGCAUAGUAUUCGAUUAAGUAUGUCUUCAGUCUGCGCCUCAGAGAAGGGAAUCGAAGAAGAAGGAGGAGGAGGUUCAUUGUGUCUCUCUCGCCUCGUGUCGUCACUCCAUCACUCACUCUUAAACUCGACGUAAUCGCGUGCUCCUCCGAUAACGAAGUGUAUAUUAUGACCUAACCGUAGCCUAACCGUAGCCUAAGGAACUCCAAAACCUUCUCCUGUAUAGACAAAAAAAAAACAAGUAUUAUGUGUAUGUCAACUUUUUAUAUAUGUCGAGAUACGGAUUUCCGCUACUACUACUACGACUACUACUACUACUACUAUUACUACUACUACGACUGCUUAUUACGUGUUACAGCGACUUCCAAUACAUGUUCGUCGUGUUACCACCUCGAUUCCACCCCUCCGAACAUUGCAAUAAGACCCCUUGAACCCCAAACUCCCCUAAGAUAUUCCAAUUCCUUUUUCCCGCCAAAAUACCGACGUAGCGAAAUGCGUAACGUAGCUUCCUUAGACUUUCCCGCGGUGCAAAAGGUCCCUCGUUGUGGUGUUUCGUGCGUCGGUAACGUUCCAGUCACGAAACAUUACAAUAACACUACGAAAACCCCGAACAAUCCUUUUCCCGCCAAAUUCUAAGUUAGCGAAAUGCAUAACGUAGCUUCCUUAGACUUUCCCGCGGUGCAAAAGGUCCCUCGUUGUGGUGUUCCGUGUUCCAGUCACGAAACUAUAGAAUAACACCCCGAAAUCCACCAAAACCCCGAACAAUCCUUUUCCCGCCAAAUUCUGAGGUAGCGAAAUGCAUAACGUAGCUUCCUUAGACUUUCUAGCGGUGCAAAAGGUCCCGUAAUGUGGUUUUCCGUGUUCCAGUCACAUUCCAGUCACGAAACUAUAGAAUAACACCCCGAAAAACACCACAACCCCAAACAAUCCUUUUCCCGUCAAAUUCUAAGUUAGCGAAAUGCGUAACGUAGCUUCCUUAGACUUUCCCGCGGUGCAAAAGGUCCCUCGUUGUGGUGUUCCGUGUUACAGUCACGAAACUAUAGAAUAACACCCCGAAAAAUACCACACCCCCAAACAAUCCUUUUUCCGCCAAAUUCUAAGUUAGCGAAAUGCGUAACGUAGCUUCCUUAGACUUUCCCGCGGUGCAAAAGGUCCCUCGUUGUGGUGUUCCGUGUUCCAGUCACGAAACUAUAGAAUAACACCCCGAAAUCCACCAAAACCCCAAAACAAUCCUUUUCCCGCCAAAUUCUGAGGUAGCGAAAUGCGUAACGUAGCUUCCCUAGACUUUUCCCCGCGGUGCAAAUGGUCCCGUAUCGUUGUGGUGUCAUUCCGUGUUCCGAUCAUGUUCCAGUCACGUUCCAGUCAUGUUCCAGUCGCGUUCAGUCACGUACGUUCGCUCUGCAGAGGGAGAAGCGUAAUUACACAAUCCAGUGCUGUAGGUGGGGUGGGGACGGCCGCGGGUGCUCACUGUGCUGCCCUCGUGCUUUGUGGGGGUCGUUGUGCGUUGUCUGUUGUUACGGGAAGACUUUUUUUUAUAUUUUCACAACAAAGGAGACGGCUCAAGGGCAACAAAAGGAGUGUAGAGAAAAAUGCCCGCUACUCACCGCUCCCAUAACAGACAAAAGUAAAGAGUGCCCAAAGGAGAGGUCAAUUUCGGGUGAAGGGGUCAAUUUCGGGUGGGAGGAAAAGAAGAAAAGAGAGAAUUAAACAGAAAUAAGAAGACUAGCAGAGAGAGAAGAGAAGAAAACAGUGAAGACAGGAAUAAUAGGAGAGAAGGAAAGGGAGAUAGAAGAGAACGAAUGGAUAAGAAGAGAGACAAGGAAAGCAAGGAGAAGAAAAACAUGGAUUAGAAGAACAGAAAACAUAGAUAAAACAGACAUAGAAAGAGAGAAGAAUAAAAGAGAUGAUGUAAACAAGGAGAGGAAGAGAAGGAGUUGAAAGGAGACCAAAGAAGAGAAGAAUAGAGAAGAAAAGAAGAAAUGGAAUGCAAGAAAAUCAACAAAAGAACAUGAGAAAAAAGAACCCCAAAACAAACGAUGGCUGAAAGGAUAGCGUGACGGCGCCGCGUUCAGGAGGACGCGAGUUCAAUCCCCGCCCGGUGCCACCAAGCUGGGAUUUUUCAGCCGCCGCCGAGUGGAUUCAAACUAUCCACAUGCUGUCCAGAAGACCACCUAUCAACCCGGACUCUAGAUUCUAGGAUUAAAAAUGAGCUCCGGGUGGACAGCACGAGCCAAUGCAAGAUGGCGCCACUAUAAACACUCGCCUGCGCCAGGACGGGCUGGGCCGACCAUCAGGACCCACCGGGAAGAAGCCUACCGGCGCAAUAGGCCACGACGUCAAAAAAAAAAAAAAAAGGAGUGCAGAGCUAAGGUUACAGUGCCACCAAAGGGUCAGGUCAUCUAAGGGCGGGAGCAGCACAAGGGCGCCCCACAGCAGGCCGUCCACACCCAGUCACUAGCCCUUCCCACCCUUGCCCACCGGAGGGACAAGGCGCCAGAACACCCUUAGACCCAUCACCCUUAAUUUCACCCUUUAUCCUUUCCCGCCAACGUUGCCAAGUUAUCGUACUCAGAACAUCGCAAUUACCGAAACUUUUCUACCCACACAGAUAACGAGAUUCCAGUUAAAGUUAUCGUUACAAUCAUUACUUAUUGGCGUCUGUUUGCGAUAGCUGUGACUCAGAAACCGGAAACUGCGAUGUGCUGAGUGGCUGAGUACGAUAAUGAGUGGCUGACUGCGAUAAUUUGGUAACGCUGCCCCUACGCUCCCUUAACUGAUAAUACUCUAAAUUUUAAAGGUGCGAAAAUGGUUAUAAGUUAAGUUUGUGUCUUUUUAAUGGAAGUAUAAGGUCUUUAAAAGUAUAGACGGACGGAAAGUUAUGUUUGUGUUGGUUUAUGUUACGAGUUAAGUUCGCGUUACCAAAGAGAGAAACCAUGGGACUAUUUUUUGUGCUUAUGUUGCUCAGCUUAGUCAAUUAAGAACCUGUGUAAUACUGUGGGACUUGUUUUGAUUGUUGUAUUCCAUUCUGAUAAGUCAAACGAGAAUCUAUGUUUUAGUGUGCGACAGAUUUUGACAUAUUCCUUUUUUUUAGUCACAUGAGAGUAUAUGUUAUGUUUUGGGACUUGUUUUGAGUGUUUUAUUCCAUUCAUUAGUCAAAGAUAGUCCAAUGUUGUGCUAUGGAAGUAAAAUUAUGUUAUAUUUCAUUCUAUUGAGUCAAACGAGAAUCUAUGUUUUAGUGUGCGACAGAUUUUGACAUAUUCCAUUUUUUUUAGUCACAUGAGAGUAUAUGUUAUGUUUUGGGACUUGCUUUGAGUGUUUUAUUCCAUUCAUUAGUCAAAGAUAGUCCAAUGUUGUGCUAUGGAAGUAAAAUUGUGUUAUAUUUCAUUCUAUUGAGUCAGACGAGAAUCUAUGUUUUAGUGUGAGACAUAUUUCGACAUAUUCCAAUUUUUUUAGUCAAAUGAGAGUAUGUUAUGUUAUGAGACUUAUUUUGAGUGUUUUAUUCCAUUUUAAAGCCAAAUGAGAGCCUAUGUUAUGCGAUGGGAGAUAUUUUGUGUUAUAUUCCAAUUUUUAGUCAAACGAGUCUAUAUUGUUAAGUUUUAUGAGUUUUCCGCACCACCAAAGAGAGAAGGAAGCUAUGGGUGCUUGUAUUCGCUAUGGUAUUUUUCAUUUUAUUUCUAUUUUAUUUUUUUAUUCCAUGACGAGAUGUUAGAUUAUACACGUUUUCGCGCUACCAAAGAGAGAAGGAAACUAUGGGUGCUUGUAUUCGCUAUGUUAUUUUUCAUUUUAUUUCUAUUUUAUUUUUUUAUUCCAUGACGAGAUGUUGGAUUAUACACGUUUUCGCGCUACCAAAGAGAGAAGGAAACUAUGGGUGCUUGUGUUAGCCAUAUGUAAUUUUUUUUUUUUUUUAUUUAUUUAUUUUUUUAUUCCAUGACUGACGAGAUGUUGGAUUAUACACGUUUUCGCGCCACCAAAGAGAGAAGGAAACUAUGAGUGCUUGUGUUAGCCAUAUGUAAUUUUUUUUUUUUAUUUAUUUAUUUUUUUAUUCCAUGACUGACGAGAUGUUGGAUUAUACACGUUUUCGCGCCACCAAAGAGAGAAGGAAACUAUGAGUGCUUGUGUUAGCCAUAUGUAAUUUUUUUUUUUUAUUUAUUUAUUUUUUUAUUCCAUGACUGACGAGAUGUUGGAUUAUACACGUUUUCGCGCCACCAAAGAGAGAAGGAAACUAUGGAAACUAUUUAUUUAUUUAUUUUAAUUUUCCGAGAUGUUAGAUGUUAGAGAGAAGGAAACUAUGAAACUAUUUAUUUAUUUAUUUUAAUUUUCCAAGAUGUUAGAUUAUACACGUUUUCGCGCCACCAAAGAGAGAAGGAAACUAUGGAAACUAUUUAUUUAUUUAUUUUAAUUUUCCGAGAUGUUAGAUGUUAGAGAGAAGGAAACUAUGGAAACUAUUUAUUUAUUUAUUUUAAUUUUCCGAGAUGUUAGAUUAUACACGUUUUUGCGUCACCAAAGAGAAAUGUAACGAUGGGACUAAUUUUGUGUUCUAUAGAGUUCAUGGUCAAUAGAUAUCUGUUAUGUUUUUUUUUCUUGUUUGUCUUUUGUUUUUGUUUUUGAAUGGAAAAAUAUGGAUGUUAAACGACAAUGAUGAUGAUGAUGAUGAUCUUUUGUUUCUCUCUUUUCUUCCUGUUCUUCCCCUUCCUACCCUUCCUUCCCCUCCCUACCCUUCCUUCCCCUUCCUACCCUUCCUUCCCCUUCCUGUUCUUACCCUCCCUACCCUUCCUUCCCCUCCCUACCCUUCCUUCCCCUCCCUACCCUUCCUUUCCCUUCCUGUUCUUCCCCUCCCUACCCUCCCUUCCCCUUACUGUUCUUCCCCUCCCUACCCUUCCUUCCCCUUACUGUUCUUACCCUCCCUACCCUUCCUUCCCCUCCCUACCCUUCCUUCCCCUCCUUACCCUUCCUUCCCCUCCACCCCUCCACUCUGGCCUCUUGUCCCGCCCCUCCCAUAAGACAUAGGCCAUAGAUCCGUAAGCUAACACUCGGAAGAUUCCUUUCCAAUACCUUACGUGUCCUGUUCCUGCGACUGACAGAAACGAUGGUCACAAGAUUGCAGCGACUUAAAUCACAAAGAAAAAGUGUUCAUGAGAGUUCUGAUCAAGUUGUUAAGGCUGUUUCGAUAUGUCAUUCUGGUAGAUUUUCGCCCAUGGAGGAUCAAAAAGUGGUCGACUGUCCAUUUGAAGGUGUCACAAUUAACAGGUUGAAGAUAGAAGACCAAAAAUGCAAGCUGUCACAAACUCACUCUUUCCUUCUUUUCUGCAUCAUUUAUUUUUAUUAAUUUUUUCAAACCUCCUUUUCAUUUCUUCCCUUUUAUCACCUUGUCUCAUUAUUUCCUUCUUUCUUGUAUAGUUUGCCAUUCAUUUUGUAUUCCCUAACUUACAUUUUCCUGUAUUUUCCCCUUAAUUUCUAUUUUUUCUGCAUCAUUCAUCUUUAUUAAUUUUUUCAAACCUCCUUUUCAUUUCUUCCCUUUCAUCACCUUGUCUCAUUCUCUCCUUCUUUCUUGUAUAGUUUGCCAUUCAUUUUGUAUUCCCUAACUUACAUUUUCCCUUAUUUUCCCUUUUAUUUCUAUUCCUUCUCUUCCUUCACUCUCGUCUCAACCCUUCCUCUCCCUCCCUCCCACUUCACGCUGUCACAAUAAACAGGAUCGGAAUAAAACACCAACAAUCCUGCCAUAAGGUGAUCAUCAUUUUUGUCAGUCGCAGGAACGGACAACGGUGAAUGAAUAUUUUUGUAAGCUAUUUUUGUGUAGAGAUUUUCAAAUUUUUAGCCUAGCCGGAGCGACGACGGAACUGUGUGUGUGUGUAAGGGUGGAGACAGUGCCGAGAUCUUUGUUAUAUAUAUGCGUGUGUGUGUGUGUGUGUGUGUGUGUGUGUGGAUCCGACCGCUUGGGGUUACGACAGAGGCCUGCGUUGUUGAGUUUUAGACAUUCCAGAGUUAGCGCAGAAUUUACGAACUUUGUGAUGGUUUGUGUUACGAUUUUAGUCUGCGUUACCAAAGAGAGAAACCAUGGGAUAAUUUUUUGUGCUUGUGUUGCUCAGCUUAGUCAAUUAAGAACCUGUGUAAUACUAUGGGACUUGUUUUGAUUAUUUUAUUCCAUUUAUUAGUCAAAGAUAGUCCUAUGUUGAGCUAUUUAAGAAGUAUUCCAAGAUAUUCCAAUUCCUUCAUUAUUUUUACUGAUGUUAUAUCAUGUGAGAACUCACCUUUUUGUCUCAUUCCUUCCCUUUUCUCAUUAUUAUUAUCAUUAUCUUUUUAUUAUAUUAUAUUGACUCACCAAUACACCAAAGACAAACUAAGCUAUGAAUAUGAGAGAGACAACACAGUAACCUUUCCCAUAGUUUCCCGUUCCAUGUCAUAUUAAACACUUUGCGAUUUCCCUUUAUUAUCAUUAUUAUUAUUAUUUACGCUCCGCCAGGCCAGUCUCGUAACCUCAGGCGUAUAGGGAGUCACACAGAACAUAUACGGACUAAAUUGGAAGUCUGUAUCGAAUUUAAAUAUUGGUGAUUUUUCAUACUCCGAGACUUUGAUCAUUCCAGCAAGUGUGUGUGUGUGUGUGUGUGUGUGUGUGUGUGUGUGUGUGUUUAUUUACCUGUUCUUCACCUCAAUCCUUCCCAUUCUUCCCUUAUUCUUUCCUUCCCUUUCUCUCCCCUCCCUUCCCCUUAAUUUAUUCCCUUUCAUUUCCAUUCCUUACAUUCCUUUACUUUCGUCUCAUCUCUUCCUCUUCCUCCGUUCCUGUGUGUGUGUGUGUGUGUGUGUGUGUGUGUGUGAGAUUACGUACAUGUAUUUACAAUGUAUACAUAUAUAGUGACCCAUGGUGAUAAAAAGAUAUGCUUGGAAAUGUGUUUGAAAAUAAGGAAAUGGAAUAGUCUGUCCUGAAAGUGAGAGAGAGAGAGAGAGAGAGAGAGAGAGAGAGAGAAAACGUGGUCUGUUAGAAGGUAGACUGAAGAAAGAGCAGAGAAAACGGGUACGGUAUGCGAGAGAAAACGAGAGAUUUAGAGGGUCACUAGGGUAAGGUGCAAGAGAAAACGGAGAGAUUUAGAGGGUCACCAUAGUACUUGCGUGUGAUUUAGAGGGUCACUAGGGUAAGGUGCAAGAGAAAACGGAGAGACUUAGAGGGUCACUAUAGUACUUGUGUGUGAUUUAGAGGGUCACUAGGGUAAGGUGCAAGAGAAAACGGAGAGACUUAGAGGGUCACUAUAGUACUUGUGUGUGAUUUAGAGGGUCACUAGGGUAAGGUGUGAGAGAAAACAGAUUUAGAGGGUCACCAUAGUACUUGCGUGUGAUUUAGAGGGUCACUAAGGUAAGGUGCAAGAGAAAACGGAGAGAUUUAGAAGGUCACUUGGGUAAGGUGCAAGAGAAAACGGAGAGACUUAGAGGGUCACUAUAGUACUUGUGUGUGAUUUAGAGGGUCACUAGGGUAAGGUGUGAGAGAAAACAGAUUUAGAGGGUCACUAUAGUACUUGCGUGUGAUUUAGAGGGUCGCUAAGGUAAGGUGCAAGAGAAAACGGAGAGAUUUAGAAGGUCACUAGGGUAAGGUGCAAGAGAAAACGGAGAGACUUAGAGGGUCACUAUAGUACUUGUGUGUGUGUGUGUAUGUGUGUGUGUGUGUUCCCAAAUCAAGGUCCCCAGGAUACCGUUAGCGACGUACCGUUAAGCCAACUAUUCACUCUCUGCCUUGUGUGUAUUUACUGUGUACCUCUGCCAGUCAGUCUCAGUAUUCCUCCGAUAGCGUGCUCGAAGGGAGGCGACACUCUCCACCCCGGUGUUAGUGUAGACCCGAGAGUGUUCCAAGGCCUCUGUAUUACGUAGUGCGGCAGAGCGAUGGAGUAGGGGAGUGUGGGUACCUGAAUCUAAGGCGUCUUGCUCUUUCAAUUCUCUUUCCCUUUAUUUUCUUUCUUUUGAUGUCAUUGUAGUUAUUUAUUUCCUCUUUUUUUUUGUCAUUUGUUAUCUUCGGACUUACUUUAUAAUCACGCAGUCGAAGGAGAGGAAUGGGAAGUGAUGAUUUUAUGUCCCUUUUUGGUUUCGUAGAUGAAUUUUUGUUUCCCUUCCUUAUUUUCUUUCUUUUGAUGUUCUAGUUAAUUAUUUCCUCCUUUUUCUGUAAUUCGGUAUCUUCCUAUUCAGUUUAUUAUCAGGCUGUCAAAGGAGAGGAAAGAGAAGUGUUAAUUUUAUGUCCUAUUCAGUUUCGUAGAUGAAUUUUUUGCUUCCCUUCCUUAUUUUCUUUCUUUUGAUGUUCUAGUUAAUUAUUUCCUCCUUUUUCUGUAAUUCGGUAUCUUCCUAUUCAGUUUAUUAUCAGGCUGUCAAAGGAGAGGAAUGGGAAGUGAUGAUUUUAUGUCCCUUUUUGGUUUCGUAGAUGAAUUUUUGUUUCCAUUCCUUAUUUUCUUUCUUUUGAUUUUCCAGUUUGUGUUUUCUCCUUUUUUUCUGUCAUUCAUUAUCUCCACUUUUUUUCAUUCUCUUCCCUUUCUUCCUUUCUUUCUUAUAAUGUCAUUCCUAUACGUGUUUUCCUUCCUUCCCCAUUCUCUUUCUUUUCCUUCCUUCUUUUCCCUUCCUUUCAUUCUCUUCCCUUUCUACCUUUUCCUUCCUUAUAAUGUCAUUCCAAUUCGCAUUUUCCUCCCUUCCCUAUUUCUUCUCUUUCCUUCCCUUGCUUCUCUGUAUCCCUUUUGCCUUCCUGUCUUCUUUUCCAUCCCUGUUUUUCCUCCUCUCUCCCUUUUUUUUCCUUUUAAUGUCAUUCUAAUAAGUCUUUUCCUCCUUUUCCACUCAUUGAUUAUCUUCCAUUUCUUUCCUUGGUGGUAACGGUCAACUUGAAUUCCGAGCGGAUCUUUCUGUAACAAAACAACGCCUCUUAUUAGGGUAACCACGCUCCCCUAAUCUACGACUCUGGUUCGACUGCCUCAAGCCCAACCAUCGCUCCUGUUUCCCUUCAUUCCGUAAGUGUAUUCCGAGGUUUAGCCCUUCCGUGGGUGGUUACUUUACACUGGUUUAGGAAUAGGUAUGUCCUCACCCUCUUCCGCCAUGCUGGGAAAGGUAAUGGUGUCAGCGGUGGUGGUGGUGGUGGUGGUGAUGUUUAACAAGGAUUUUUCAGACUCCGUGGUGUUGAUAAGAAGUGUUUCCAUGAUGUAAUUCCUUAACUUGUUGGUUGGGAUGUUUUUCGAGAUAGUUUAUACACGUGUUGCUCUGGGCUUGUUUUUCGUUGCUGUGUUGUCGAAGAGAAGGAUGAACGGUGGUGUCUUGCUGUGUUGCGGGUAUUGAGUUUGAGGAUGUUUAAGAAGAGGUGAAAUCAUGCUUUGUUUGUUGAAUAUCAGUCACUCGAAAGGAAAGUAGAGAGAGAAAAAAGUAAUAAUUAUAAUCUUUUGCCGUGUUUUGAGUACUGAAGGAUUGUUGAAGUGAGUUUGAGAAUAGUUAAAAAAAGAGGUGAAAUUAGGCUUUGUUUUAUUUGCUAUCACUCAGGCGAAAGGAAAGUAAAGAGAGAAAGAGAUGAAAAUUAUAAUCUUUUCCUGUGUUCCGAGUAUUAGUGGACCGCUGAAGUUAAUUUGAGAAGAGUUAAGAAAGAGGAGACGUAAUGUAAGACCCUGUUUUGUUUAAUAUAUCACUCGAUCAAAAGAUAAAUUAAGAAGAUAGAAAAGAGUUGAAAUCAUAAUCGUUUGCUGUGUUCCGAGUAUUAGUGGACCGCUGAAGUUAAUUUGAGAAGAGUUAAGAAAGAGAAGUAAUGUAAGACCCUGUUUUGUUUAAUAUAUCACUCGGUCAAAAGAUAAAUUAAGAAGAUAGAAAAGAGUUGAAAUCAUAAUCGUUUGCUAUGUUCCGAGUAUUAGUGGACCGCUGAAGUUAAUUUGAGAAGAGUUAAGAAAGAGGAGAAGUAAUGUAUGACCCUGUUUUGUUAAAUAUAUCACUUGGUCAAAAGAGAAAUAAGGAGAUAGAAAAAGAGUUGAAAUUAUAAGCGUUUGCUGUGUUCCGAGUAUUAGUGGACCGCUGAAGUGAAUUUGAGAAGAGUUAAGAAAGAGAAGUAAUGUAAGACCCUGUUUUGUUUAAUAUAUCACUCGGUCAAAAGAUAAAUUAAGAAGAUAGAAAAGAGUUGAAAUCAUAAUCGUUUGCUGUGUUCCAAGUAUUAGUGGACCGCUGAAGUGAAUUUGAGAAGAGUUAAGAAAGAGAAGUAAUGUAUGACCCUGUUUUGUUUAAUAUAUCACUUGGUCGAAAGAGAAAUAAGGAGCUAGAAAAAGAGUUGAAAUUAUAAGCGUUUGCUGUGUUCCGAGCGUUCGUGGGUUGGUGAAUUGAGUUUGAGGAUAGUUACAAAGAAGGAGAUUAAUACAUGACCCUGUUCUGUUUAAUAUAUCACUCAGUCCAAAGAAAACUAAGCGAGAAAAAGGGAAUAACUAUAAUCUUUUGCUGCGUUUCAAGUGUUGGUGCGUUGCUGAAGUGAGUUUGCAGAAGAGAAAAGAGAUGAUAAAGUUCACCUGUUCUGCUCAAUAUAACUCAGUCGAAUGAGAAGAGAAACGAAGAGAUAAUUUUGUCUCACGCGUUUGAUUACUAAGUUGAAAGAGAAGAGCGAGGAAUGAAAAAAAAUGAAGUGAUUGCGUCUUUUUCUGUUUAUUAAAAAGUCGAAAGCAGAGAAGAUUAAAAAGAGACUAGCAGGGGCGUGUGCUGAGUUCAGAAGAGUGUGGAAAUUUGAUAUCCUUUUUUGUUUAGUAAGAAAGAAGUAAGAGUAGGAAAUAUAGGUGUAAGAAGAAGGAAAGAAGGAAAUAAAGGAGGAAAGCAAGAAAGAAUAAAUGAAAGCAGAGGCAGGAAAACAAGUAAACAAGAAAGAAUAUAUAAGUGAAAGAAGAAAUUGGAAAACAGGAAAGAAGAAAAGCUGGAAACAUAAGUGAAGGAAAAAGAAUAAAGCAGAAAAUGAAAGAAGAAAGCAGAUGAAAGAAGGAACAGGAACACGGGGAAGAAUAAAUGAAAGAAAGAAGGAAAAGUUGAAAAUAUAAGCAAAAGAAGAAGUGAAAGGAGGACGUAGGAGAGACGAAAGAAGAACCAGGAAAGAAUAAACGUAAGAAAGAAAAAAGGAGAAACAGAAAAUAUAAGCGAAAGAAAGAAAGAAAGAAAGAAUUACCAACCCUUCAUUUCUCGUUCUGUACAAACCACUCCAAGCUCGAUCCCGUUCAUGUACGUCAUACCACAUAUAAUAAUAAUAAUAAUAAUAAUAAUAAUAAUAAUGCUAUGAUAGGCAGUCCAGGUGGUGUGUGACUUGGCAUAUUCCCAGUCUUCUAUAUUACGUCUGUACGCGUGACAACAAUAUUAACAUGUGAUUCGAUGUGUGUUUCAAACUCAUUAUGCAAACAGUUAAGUAAUUACUACAACCUAUGAUAUAAUGUAAAUAAACUUUCAAAUACCUCCA